AUGGAUUCCACAGCUCCUAAAAAGCGUGGCUUGGGUAGGGGGCCCACUCAAAUCCCCAGGGCACCUACUAACCUAGACGACCGGGAACUUAUUCAACUUCGUCAUACCCCAUAUAACGUGUACAUAUCUACUCAUACCCACCUUUAAGAACUUAUAUCAUCCUCAUUGGCAUAAUACUUAGUGAUCGAUGACUUUGUUGUUUAUUGUAGUGAUUUUGCAGAUCAUAGAAUCGUGAAGUGCAUCUCUCAGCUGUGCCUUCAGAAUUGGCCUACCCCUGCCAUUAGGUGGGUUAGCACACCUACAGCACAUAAGGAUGCAGUAUGGGCUGAAUUUCAG
Molecule: long non-coding RNA, 336 nt
Filed under: Daucus carota (carrot)
Lineage: Eukaryota; Viridiplantae; Streptophyta; Magnoliopsida; Apiales; Apiaceae
Description: long non-coding RNA (DCAR_LNC000310)
Source: RNAcentral